RNAcentral lists this ribosomal RNA (106 nucleotides) under uncultured bacterium. RNAcentral describes it as "partial 16S ribosomal RNA". It matches the Rfam family "Bacterial small subunit ribosomal RNA", at positions 1393 to 1500 of the family's 1533-position model. The record is from RNAcentral.
CCCGUCACACCAUGAGAGUUGGGAAUACCCGAAGCCUGUGAGCUAACUUUUAGAGGCAGCAGUCGAAGGUAGAAUCAAUGAUUGGGUGAAGUCGUAACAAGGUAGC